AAAUUGAAGAGUUUGAUCAUGGCUCAGAUUGAACGCUGGCGGCAGGCCUAACACAUGCAAGUCGAACGGUAGCACAGAGAGCUUGCUCUCGGGUGACGAGUGGCGGACGGGUGAGUAAUGUCUGGGAAACUGCCCGAUGGAGGGGGAUAACUACUGGAAACGGUAGCUAAUACCGCAUAACGUCGCAAGACCAAAGUGGGGGACCUUCGGGCCUCACACCAUCGGAUGUGCCCAGAUGGGAUUAGCUAGUAGGUGGGGUAACGGCUCACCUAGGCGACGAUCCCUAGCUGGUCUGAGAGGAUGACCAGCCACACUGGAACUGAGACACGGUCCAGACUCCUACGGGAGGCAGCAGUGGGGAAUAUUGCACAAUGGGCGCAAGCCUGAUGCAGCCAUGCCGCGUGUAUGAAGAAGGCCUUCGGGUUGUAAAGUACUUUCAGCGAGGAGGAAGGCGUUGUGGUUAAUAACCACAGCGAUUGACGUUACUCGCAGAAGAAGCACCGGCUAACUCCGUGCCAGCAGCCGCGGUAAUACGGAGGGUGCAAGCGUUAAUCGGAAUUACUGGGCGUAAAGCGCACGCAGGCGGUUUGUUAAGUCAGAUGUGAAAUCCCCGGGCUCAACCUGGGAACUGCAUUUGAAACUGGCAAGCUUGAGUCUCGUAGAGGGGGGUAGAAUUCCAGGUGUAGCGGUGAAAUGCGUAGAGAUCUGGAGGAAUACCGGUGGCGAAGGCGGCCCCCUGGACAAAGACUGACGCUCAGGUGCGAAAGCGUGGGGAGCAAACAGGAUUAGAUACCCUGGUAGUCCACGCCGUAAACGAUGUCUACUUGGAGGUUGUGCCCUUGAGGCGUGGCUUCCGGAGCUAACGCGUUAAGUAGACCGCCUGGGGAGUACGGCCGCAAGGUUAAAACUCAAAUGAAUUGACGGGGGCCCGCACAAGCGGUGGAGCAUGUGGUUUAAUUCGAUGCAACGCGAAGAACCUUACCUGGUCUUGACAUCCACGGAAGUUUUCAGAGAUGAGAAUGUGCCUUCGGGAACCGUGAGACAGGUGCUG
RNAcentral lists this ribosomal RNA (1051 nucleotides) under Salmonella enterica. RNAcentral describes it as "bacterial SSU rRNA". It matches the Rfam family "Bacterial small subunit ribosomal RNA", at positions 1 to 1043 of the family's 1533-position model. The record is from RNAcentral. RNAcentral also lists the same sequence under 1 other name. Lineage: Bacteria; Pseudomonadati; Pseudomonadota; Gammaproteobacteria; Enterobacterales; Enterobacteriaceae.